AUGCAAGUCGUACGAGGUAGUCACUUGUGAUUAUCUAGUGGCGGAAGGGUUAGUAAUACAUGGUUAACCUAUCGUAAACACCGGGAUAACGGCUAGAAAUGGUCGCUAAUACCGGAUGUGGUGCUGAGAGGAAUCUUUUAGUUAUUAAAGCAGGGGAUUGGGAAACCGACCUUGUGGUUUAUGAGGGGUCCAUGGGAUAUCAGCUUGUUGGUGAGGUAAUGGCUCACCAAGGCUAAGACGUCUAGGCGGGUUGAGAGAUCGACCGCCAACACUGGGACUGAGACACUGCCCAGACUCCUACGGGAGGCUGCAGUCGAGAAUCUUUCGCAAUGGGCGAAAGCCUGACGAAGCGACGCCGUGUGAGCGAUGAAGGCCUUCGGGUCGUAAAGCUCUUUCGCCCGGGAACAAGAGAUAGUCGUAAAUAGCGGCUAGAUUUGAGUGUACCGGGUAAAGAAGCACCGGCUAACUCCGUGCCAGCAGCUGCGGUAAUACGGAGGGUGCAAGCAUUAAUCGGAUUUAUUGGGCGUAAAGGGGGCUAAGGCGGAAAUAUAAGUCAGAUGUGAAAGAUCGGGGCUCAACCCCGGGAACGCAUUUGAAACUGUAUAUCUAGAGGAUAGGCGGAGAAAGCGGAAUUCCACAUGUAGCGGUGAAAUGCGUAGAUAUGUGGAGGAACACCGGUGGCGAAGGCGGCUUUCUAGCUUAUAUCUGACGCUGAUGCCCGAAAGCUGGGGGAGCGAACAGGAUUAGAUACCCUGGUAGUCCCAGCCGUAAACGAU
This 776-nucleotide ribosomal RNA is filed under the name uncultured bacterium. Its description in RNAcentral is "bacterial SSU rRNA". It matches the Rfam family "Bacterial small subunit ribosomal RNA", at positions 55 to 810 of the family's 1533-position model. The record is from RNAcentral.